Molecule: ribosomal RNA, 345 nt
Filed under: Triticum aestivum (bread wheat)
Lineage: Eukaryota; Viridiplantae; Streptophyta; Magnoliopsida; Poales; Poaceae
Description: partial small subunit ribosomal RNA
Source: RNAcentral
AUGCUAAAAGUGGUAAAUUUACCUCCUGCCAUGUUUUCUCCGGGGAUUGUGGCAUGCACCUCCGGUUCGUCUAAUUUAUGCACGGAGAACUUUGUCUUUGUUCAAAUUGUGGGUUCAUGGCAAGAGAUUGAUCCAGAUGAGUACUCAUACGAGGAAUUAGUUGCAUUGGGCGGAGUGGUUAGUACAGAAAGUAGAGGUCUCUCUGCUGAUACACUUGCUUCCUUACCUUCAGUAACUUACAACACAAAAGACAUGCAAGACGGCAACACAGAACAAUGUGUAAUUUGUCACGUGGGAUUGGAGGAAGGUGAAUCCUUGGUUGCACUUCCCUACAAGCAUUCAUAA